RNAcentral lists this ribosomal RNA (407 nucleotides) under uncultured bacterium. RNAcentral's name for it is "bacterial SSU rRNA". It matches the Rfam family "Bacterial small subunit ribosomal RNA", at positions 355 to 776 of the family's 1533-position model. The record is from RNAcentral.
UUGGGAAUAUUGGACAAUGGAGGAAACUCUGAUCCAGUGACGCCGCGUGAAGGAAGAAGGUCUUCGGAUUGUAAACUUAUUUUAUCAGGGAAGAAACAAAUGACUGUACCUGAAGAAGAAGGACCGGCAAACUACGUGCCAGCAGCCGCGGUAAUACGUAGGGUCCGAGCGUUAUCCGGAUUUACUGGGUAUAAAGGGCGAGUAGACGGUUUAGCAAGUCAGAUGUGAAAACUUGGAGCUCAACUCCAAGCCUGCAUCUGAAACUGUUAGACUAGAGUGCAGGAGAGGUAAGCGGAAUUCCUAGUGUAGCGGUGAAAUGCGUAGAUAUUAGGAGGAACACCAGUGGCGAAGGCGGCUUACUGGACUGUAACUGACGUUGAGGAGCGAAAGUGUGGGGAGCAAACAGG